AAUCUUCCACAAUGGACGAAAGUCUGAUGGAGCAACGCCGCGUGAGUGAAGAAGGUUCNCGGAUCNUNAAGCUCUGUUGUAAGGGNAGAACAAGUACAGGAGUAACUGUCUGUACCUUGACGGUACCUUACCAGAAAGCCACGGCUAACUACGUGCCAGCAGCCGCGGUAAUACGUAGGUGGCAAGCGUUGUCCGGAAUUAUUGGGCGUAAAGCGCGCGCAGGCGGUUCUUUAAGACUGAUGUGAAAGCCCACGGCUCAACCGUGGAGGGUCAUUUGAAAAUGGAGGACUUGAGUACAGAAGAGGAAAGCGGAAUUCCACGUGUAGCGGUGAAAUGCGUAGAGAUGUGGAGGAACACCAGUGGCGAAGGCGGCUUUCUGGUCUGUAACUGACGCUGAGGCGCGAAAGCUAGGGGAGCAAACA
Molecule: ribosomal RNA, 422 nt
Filed under: uncultured bacterium
Lineage: Bacteria
Description: partial 16S ribosomal RNA
Rfam family: Bacterial small subunit ribosomal RNA
Source: RNAcentral